Molecule: RNA transcript, 3931 nt
Organism: Armigeres subalbatus
Lineage: Eukaryota; Metazoa; Arthropoda; Insecta; Diptera; Culicidae
Gene: SCAR
Gene name: actin-binding protein WASF2
Exons: 5
Source: RefSeq, a predicted model, not a curated record
UAAUGGCAUUUAUUUAUGUUGUACUGCUGUAACAAGUGCUCGUGGUGGAAAACAAACUAAAAAUAGUGUGAGUGUAAUGCAACGUAUACGUAACGGUCGUAUGAAAGUAUAAAUUGUCAAAAUUAAAAUGUCAACAAUAUAAAAACAACUUUCUUGGUUCUUUCCGUACAAGUUAGAAUUAUUAGAAUCCUUUAAAAACGGUUGUAUGUUCUAGAAUAUAAUUAGGUAAAAGUAUCAGAAUGAUUCGACGAAAUAAACGCCAUCACUACAUGCUGAAUGAAAAUGAAGGUCGUAAAUAUGUGCGCAAGUUUUGUUUUAGUCUGCUACUCGACGGCCGAAUUCUGAGCAAUCCAGCGGCGAUACUCCUAGAAUACGUAAAAGUACAUUUCCAAGAACGGAAGUUGAGAAUGUUUCUAGUGAAUCGGAGUUUGAAGGAUGUGAUGACGUUAAUGCUUGUCCGGAAAACCUGGCAUUCCUGAAUCGGUACCUUUUCGCUGAAAGUCAAAACGAAAGAAUUUCGUUCAUGAACAUAGACGAUAUAAAGGAAAAUGACUUUACCGUUAAUGAAUUGAAUCCGGUAGAUCGGUCGUUCCUAGCGAAUUCGAUAAAUUCUCUAUCUGAUUAUCAAUUAAGUGGAAGUUCAUAUCUGUUGAGUAAUGAUUCUUCUUCACAUGAAUCGUACGAUUCUAAUGAAUCCAAUCAGCAAGAGGAUGCUUUUGGAGAGCACAAUAAACCAAUGCAAUUCAACGCUGAAAUUACAGUACGUGACGUUCUGUUCAUGGUACUCAAUUUUUAUAUAAGAUAUAAGCUGACUCAAGAGGCUGUUGUACAAUUACUAAAGAUGUUGAACCUGAUAACUGGCGUGAAGAACCUUCCCGAGAGCUUCGAAGCUUUUGCUGGUGUAUUUCCUGAUCCGUAUGACUCUCAUCGAGUGUACUUUUGUGCCGAAUGCCAGUGUGAAUACGGUUGUACCCCACCAAACGAACAAACUGUAUGCUCAGUCCAGGGUUGUAACUCCACAAAGUUCGACUUUUUUAUUGUUCUUCCUCUUAAAGAACAGUUGAAAGAAGCAGUUACGAAGUUCAGGAAAGAAAUCAACGAUUAUGAAGAAUUGAUCGAAGCAGAAAACAUUGCCGAUAUUAAUCGAGGUGCAAUGUUCAACAAAAUUAAAAGGAAUGAGCAAGGAAAAUACAUCACUCUUUCUGUGAACACGGACGGCGCAGCAGCAUAUCGUUGGACACUAAAUAAGCCCUGCUACCCUAUUUUUGUUACAGUAAACAAUCUGCCACCUCGUUUACGUUUCAACAAACAUAACGUAAUGCUCAGUGCGAUAUGGCUGAGCAAAGGGGACCCUAAUAUGUGUUUAUUCUUCAAGUACUUUAGCAAGGAGAUGAAAAAUCUGAGAAAUGGUUUAGAAAUUGGUGACGAGAUAUAUAAAGUAGUUGUCCUGCAGAACUGUUUAGAUACAGUGGCCAGAUGCAAAGUGCAAGGAACAACACAAUUCAAUGGUAGAUAUGGCUGUUCAGUGUGUCUCCACAGCGGAAUGAUUGUAAAUGGGAAUCAAAUUCGGUAUCCCUCCAUCGCCGCAGAGCAGCGAGAUCAUGAUACAACCCGGAAUCUAAUGCUAGAGGUGCACAAAACCAAAAUUCCGAAACUUGGUAUUAAAGCAUUGUCAGUAUUUCUAGCUGUGCCAGAUUUUGAUAUAGUGUUAGGGUUUCCUCCAGACUAUAUGCAUAAUGUCCUUUUAGGCGUGGUGAAGCUUAUGUGGGAAUUAUUCACAUCGACAUCAAACCACAAUAAACCAUUUUAUGUGGGAUUGCAACUUGGAGAGGUCGAGCAACGUUUGUCCGAAAUUCGUCCUCCAAGUGCAUUCUCACGGUAUCCUGGAAAAUUAGACGAUAUGAAAAAGAACAAAGCUGCAGACUGGGAGUGCAUACUGUUCCAUUAUUUUUACCCCUGUUUUGUGAAUAUUCUCCCAAAAUCAUUCCUAGAUCAUUUUAUGUUGCUAUCCUUGAAUGCUAUUUUUGAAUUAUUAGAUGUGCAUCUAACUCUAGACCAAAUCGAUACUUGUGAGAAAUCCAUCAACAGUUUUGUAAAGAAAUUCUCUGAAUUCUACGGUGUGGAAAAUAUGGUAUUCAAUAUUCAUUUGUUGACCCAUUUAUCAGAAAGUGCCAGACACUUUGGUGCUUUGUGGAAUUCUUCAUUAUUUCCAUAUGAAAAUGCGAAUGGGGUAAUCUUACAAUAUAGGACUGGAAACAACCAUCCUGUUAUUCAGAUUAGCUCAAAAUAUGUUCUCAACAGAACAUGUCAUUUCAGAAUAUCGACUCAUUCUGAAAUAAUGCAGUGGCAUUCUAGGAUUUGGAAUUCAAAAACAUCAACUGAAUUGCAGUAUGAUCACCGGUUGCUUUAUAUCGUUCCAGAGCAUGUUUCAAUUGACGCCGAUGUACUUGAGAGAGAUUUUAGUUAUCACGAUCGCCUAUUUAUUAGAAAUAUCCAAUACAGAACAUACAAAGCAUGCGAAAAACUUGGCUAUGAUGAUUCAUAUGUCAAUAUAAAUCAGGAGUUCUUUCGAAUCGAGCACAUUCUUAUCGCGAAAAAUAAUGCGCCUUUUAUCGUUGCAACGAAGCUUAGUACAACACAGCUUUUCAAAAAUAUGUUUGUAUAUUCAGUGACCGACCACGUCGUAUUAAAAAAAGCAAAUCAUAAUUUCAGACAAUGUGUAAAUGUAUCUAUAAAUAGUAAUGGCAAAGUCAUGACAUUUAUUUCUAUUUGCAAAUAUAAUAGUCAGGUAGAUUAAAAGAAUAAUGGUUAUACUUUCGUAAACAAAAUGUUACUGAUUUUCUCCUUAACCCGAAUUAAACAAGACUACUAGAUAAAUAGUUUUUAAGUUAUAAGCAUUUUGAUUUAGAGUAAUAAAAUAUGUAGAGUUGUAGUGAAAUUAACAACUGUCAUUAAUGUAUAGCAAAAAGAAAACAACAUUAGUUAUCAUACUUUACCCUUCAUAAACUGAUAUCAAAUUUUGAUCUCAAUUUGAUGUCGAUAUCAUAAUAUGAUUUCAAUUUGCUAUCAUCUUGUUGUUGGACUUUGCUCGGGAAGUGCGCUUCAGUGUGAAAAUUCGGAUCAGUAAAGUUUCAGCAACUGGGAUAUCUGGUGUGGCAGACAGAGGAAGAUUCGAAUGAGGGGCUUGUGAAGUGAAAUCUCUUAGUGGUGGAAAAAAGGCGUAAGUGUCCGGGGAGCAGUCGAAGUUAGUCAAGAAAGAGUUGUGGCACCCAUCAGAUACCUACGCAAAUGGGGUUCCUGCAGUUUGUGCAAUCAAAAUAAAUUUGUGUUUAUUGCAAAGCGACAGAAGGGUGUUUCGUUGUGCAGAAAAAUCGCCCCGAAUCAAGGAGGGGCAAAGGCAAUAAAAUAUAAGUGUAAUCACUAUUGCAAUCUGGUCGGAGUGAAGAAAAGUAAAAGGAAGAACAACGACCCGGGAGGAAGCAGUAGCGAAUUUCUCAAAGGUGUGUGUCACUCGAAGAAGUAGUGAAAUUUCUGGAUAUAGUGGAUACUAACCUACUGGGGGACUACGGAAAGAAGGGAGACGCGAUAGAGGCAGACCUCUCUGGCUGAUAUCAUUCUUCAAGGCGGACGACAUCAUCGGGCCUCGGUGUCGUGUGAUUCUUUGUCAUCAUCAAAAAGUCAAUCAUCGACGCGCGGCCGAGAGCGAGAACAACACUGAAGUUGCGAAAAUGCGGCUUCCCCAACGGGUGAACUAGACACAGUGCGGACUAGUCGCAUGCACUCGGUGUCUGUGCUCUUCUCACUCACCUGCACGGCCGCGUUGUCAUCGUCGUCGUUGUCGUGAUUGGAGCUAACAGCUUGACGUUGUGCCGGGGGCAUCGGACAGAGAGAACGAGAGACACAGCAGCAGCCAGAGCGAAAGCCACCCCCU